AGAGUUUGAUCCUGGCUCAGGACGAACGCUGGCGGCGUGCUUAACACAUGCAAGUCGAACGGACCUUUUUUGGAAGAAGCCUUCGGGUGGAAAUUAGGAAAGGUUAGUGGCGGACGGGUGAGUAACGCGUAGAUAAUCUACCUUAAAGACUGGGACAACAGUUGGAAACGACUGCUAAUACCGGAUACGCUGCACAUAGGGCAUCCUAGGUGCAGGAAAAGAGGCCUCUUAACAAUGCUCCUGCUUUUAGAUGAGUCUGCGUCUGAUUAGCUAGAUGGUGGGGUAACGGCUUACCAUGGCGACGAUCAGUAGUCGGCCUGAGAGGGUGACCGGCCACAUUGGGACUGAGACACGGCCCAAACUCCUACGGGAGGCAGCAGUGGGGAAUCUUCCGCAAUGGGCGAAAGCCUGACGGAGCAACGCCGCGUGAUCGAAUGAAGGCCUUCGGGUUGUAAAGAUCUGUUGACAGGGACGAAUAAGCAAUGCGAAUAGUUUUGUGUAUGACGGUACCUGUUUAGAAAGCUCCGGCUAACUACGUGCCAGCAGCCGCGGUAAUACGUAGGGAGCAAGCGUUGUCCGGAAUUACUGGGCGUAAAGGGCGCGUAGGUGGGCGCUUAAGUCAGGUGUGAAAACUCCGGGCUCAACCUGGAGACUGCACUUGAAACUGGGUGUCUUGAGGGCAGGAGAGGAAAGUGGAAUUCCUAGUGUAGCGGUGAAAUGCGUAGAUAUUAGGAGGAACACCAGUGGCGAAGGCGACUUUCUGGACUGUACCUGACGCUGAGGCGCGAAAGCGUGGGUAGCGAACGGGAUUAGAUACCCCGGUAGUCCACGCCGUAAACGAUGAAUACUAGGUGUAGGAGGUAUCGACUCCUUCUGUGCCGCAGCAAACGCAAUAAGUAUUCCGCCUGGGGACUACGGUCGCAAGACUAAAACUCAAAGGAAUUGACGGGGACCCGCACAAGCGGUGGAGCAUGUGGUUUAAUUCGAAGCAACGCGAAGAACCUUACCAGGCCUUGACAUCUGCCUGACAGGGUAUGUAAUGUACCUUCCCUCCGGGGCAGGCAAGACAGGUGGUGCAUGGUUGUCGUCAGCUCGUGUCGUGAGAUGUUGGGUUAAGUCCCGCAACGAGCGCAACCCCUGCCCACAGUAGCCAGCGCGCAAAGGCGGGCACUCUGUGGGGACUGCCAGGGACAACCUGGAGGAAGGUGGGGAUGACGUCAAAUCAUCAUGCCCCUUAUGGCCUGGGCUAUACACGUGCUACAAUGGCGUAACAGAGGGAGGCGAAGCCGCGAGGCGGAGCAAACCCCAAAAAUAACGUCCCAGUUCGGACUGCAGCCUGCAACCCGGCUGCACGAAGCUGGAAUCGCUAGUAAUCGCGGAUCAGAAUGCCGCGGUGAAUACGUUCCCGGGUCUUGUACACACCGCCCGUCA
This 1431-nucleotide ribosomal RNA is filed under the name uncultured bacterium. RNAcentral's name for it is "bacterial SSU rRNA". It matches the Rfam family "Bacterial small subunit ribosomal RNA". The record is from RNAcentral.